CCCUUAGAUGUUCUGGGCCGCACGCGCGCUACACUGACGAUGGCAACGAGUUUUUCCUUCGCCGAAAGGUGUGGGUAAUCUUUUGAAACAUCGUCGUGCUGGGGAUAGAUCAUUGCAAUUUUUGAUCUUGAACGAGGAAUUCCUAGUAAGCGCGAGUCAUCAGCUCGCGUUGAUUACGUCCCUGCCCUUUGUACACACCGCCCGUCGCUACUACCGAUUGAAUGGUUUAGUGAGGACUCCUGAUUGGCGCCGCCGCCCCGGCAACGGAGCAGCGGACUGCCGAAAAGUUGUUCAAACUUGAUCAUUUAGAGGAAGUAAAAGUCGUAAC
Molecule: ribosomal RNA, 328 nt
Filed under: uncultured eukaryote
Lineage: Eukaryota
Description: partial 18S ribosomal RNA
Rfam family: Eukaryotic small subunit ribosomal RNA
Source: RNAcentral